RNAcentral lists this ribosomal RNA (301 nucleotides) under uncultured bacterium. RNAcentral's name for it is "partial 16S ribosomal RNA". It matches the Rfam family "Bacterial small subunit ribosomal RNA", at positions 509 to 809 of the family's 1533-position model. The record is from RNAcentral.
CAGUAGCCGCGGUAAUACGUAGGGGGCGAGCGUUGUCCGAAGUUACUGGGCGUAAAGAGCGCGUAGGCUGGUCUUUAAGUGAGUGGUGAAAGGUUCGGGCUCAACCCGGACACUGCCUUUCAUACUGGGGACCUUGAGUGUGGGAGAGGCGAGUGGAAUGGUCGGUGUAGCGGUGAAAUGCGUAGAUAUCGAUCGGAACACCCAUGGCGAAGGCAGCUCGCUGGCCUAACACUGACGCUGAGGCGCGAAAGCGUGGGGAGCAAACAGGAUUAGAUACCCGCGUAGUCCCUGUCUCUUAUAA